UAGGUGGCCAGGAGAAGCAGCAUCCUGCUGU
This 31-nucleotide non-coding RNA is filed under the name Rattus norvegicus (Norway rat). The record is from RNAcentral. Lineage: Eukaryota; Metazoa; Chordata; Mammalia; Rodentia; Muridae.